RNAcentral lists this unclassified non-coding RNA (280 nucleotides) under rhizosphere metagenome. Its description in RNAcentral is "partial ribosomal RNA internal transcribed spacer region". The record is from RNAcentral.
GUAGGUGAACCUGCGGAAGGAUCAUUACAAAUUAGUUGUGGAUUUUGGGUGGUGUAAAGUGUGAUUUGUGAAGUGAAGUGUGAAGUGUGGUAUUUCGAUAUUACAUUACACAUGCAUACAUUAAUUACAUUACUUGCACUGCUCAUUAUCCGUUAUAGCCCACUCCUGAAAGGGAGAUGGACGCGCUAGUGCUAGUUCACUGGCGCAAAUAGACCUUAAAUCAUGACUUAUUCCAAAAAGAAAAUAACCAAAACUUUUAACAAUGGAUCUCUUGGCUCUU